GGAGGGCAAGUCUGGUGCCAGCAGCCGCGGUAAUUCCAGCUCCAAUAGCGUAUACUAAAGUUGUUGCAGUUAAAAAGCUCGUAGUUGGAUUUCUGCUAGAGGGGCGCAGUUGUCCUCCACGUGAGGUUCAGCUAGCUUCCCUCGUGCAUCCUGCCGCGAUCCGUGCUUCCAUUAACUUGGAGGUGCUGGGGAUCGGCUCGUUUACUUUGAGAAAAAUAGAGUGUUCAAAGCAGGCGAAAAGCCUUGAAUAACUUAGCAUGGAAUAAUGAUAAAGGACUUCGGUUCUAUUUUGUUGGUGUUCGGGACUGAAGUAAUGAUUGAUAGGGACAGUUGGGGGCGUCAGUAUUCCAAAGCGAGAGGUGAAAUUCUUAGACCUUCGGAAGACUAACAGCUGCGAAAGCGUUCGCCAAGGAUGUUCCCUUUGAUCAAGAACGAAAGUUGGGGGAUCGAAGACGAUCAGAUACCGUCGUAGUCUCAACUAUAAACUAUACCAGCUAGGGAUCGGCCAACGUUAUCUAAACUCGACUUGGUCGGCACCUUAUGAGAAAUCAAAGCAUCUGGGUUCCGGGGGGAGUAUGGUCGCAAGGCUGAAACUUAAAGGAAUUGACGGAAGGGCACCACCAGGCGUGGAGCCUGUGGCUUAAUUUGACUCAACACGGGAAAACUUACCAGGUCCAGACAUAGUAAGGAUUGACAGAUUGACAGCUCUUUCUUGAUUCUGUGGGUGGUGGUGCAUGGCCGUUCUUAGUUGGUGGAGUGAUUUGUCUGGUUAAUUCCGUUAACGAACGAGACCCCAGCCUGCUAAAUAGACGGAGUGAGCUUUAUGUUCGCUGUUCCGGCUUCUUAGAGGGACUAUGUGUCGUUUCAGCACAAGGAAGUUUGGGGCAAUAACAGGUCUGUGAUGCCCUUAGAUGUUCUGGGCCGCACACGGGCUACACUGGCGGGUGCAACGAGCAUAUCAGCUUGCCCGAGAGGGUACUUGGCUAAUCUUUUGAACCCCCGCCGUGCUUGGGAUUGACUUUUGCAAUUGUUAGUCAUGCAACGAGGAAUGCCUUGUAAACGCGAGUCAUCAACUCGCAUUGAAUACGUCCCUGCCCUUUGUACACACCGCCCGUC
This 1116-nucleotide ribosomal RNA is filed under the name uncultured Rhizaria. Its description in RNAcentral is "bacterial SSU rRNA". It matches the Rfam family "Eukaryotic small subunit ribosomal RNA", at positions 550 to 1677 of the family's 1831-position model. The record is from RNAcentral.